This 397-nucleotide ribosomal RNA is filed under the name uncultured bacterium. RNAcentral's name for it is "partial 16S ribosomal RNA". It matches the Rfam family "Bacterial small subunit ribosomal RNA", at positions 523 to 918 of the family's 1533-position model. The record is from RNAcentral.
AUACGUAGGGGGCGAGCGUUGUCCGGAAUGAUUGGGCGUAAAGGGCGCGUAGGCGGCGCGGUAAGUCUGGAGUGAAAGUCCUGCUUUCAAGGUGGGAAUUGCUUUGGAUACUGCCGCGCUUGAGUGCUGGAGAGGUAGACGGAAUUCCUUGUGUAGCGGUGAAAUGCGUAGAGAUCGGGAGGAACACCAGUGGCGAAGGCGGGUAACUGGACUGCAACUGACGCUGAGGCGCGAAAGUGUGGGGAGCAAACAGGAUUAGAUACCCUGGUAGUCCACACUGUAAACGAUGAAUGCUAGGUGUAAGAGGUAUCGACCCCUUUUGUGCCGGAGUCAACACAAUAAGCAUUCCGCCUGGGGAGUACGGCCGCAAGGUUGAAACUCAAAUGAAUUGACGGGG